UAUCCGAAGAUUCUCUUUAUUUCCAUUAAUGUCGCUCGCACAACGAGAUAAUCACAUAACCAGAAGAAUUUAUUGCAAAAGUAAGUACACAGAAAAUAAUUAUAUAGCACACAUACACAAAAGAGAGUAUGGUAUUAUAUUAGGCAGGUGUUGUACACUAAAUAUAGCAAGAAGGGUCCUAAUCCUGGAGUUCCGAGUGGGAGCGGAAGAGGAAAGCUUCCCUCUUACACAUCCACCUUUAUGUUAUAAUCCUCUUAUGUCACUCUGUGGAAAAGUGUUCAAAGCGGUCAAACACUGGCUGUGGUCCAUCGCGAUAAAUUAUCAGUCAGCUCUAUCAUCCGUGACACAAUGUGUGUGAAACAACCCGGGAGAUUGCGAUUACAGGCGGGAGAGGCAAACAGCAUUAUAACUUUGACAAUAUAUUCAUCUUGCACGAUUCUUCGUCGGGACGGGGAAUAAAAGGUCGUGGAAAAUGCACGUGCGAGCUCUGAGGUCUGGCCGCGUUAAAACUUUCUGAUCAAACAAAACUCCAUAAUCGAGAUAUAGUGGGACGAGCCGCGAUAGUGCACGUGGACAAGCAGACGAAGUAGAAGCCAUGUUUUGUUGAGAAUUUGCGUAACUUUAAUGGCAAUGCGAUUGUUACGGCUACGUUAAACUCUGUUCGUCGUCGGUUCGUAGAUGCGGCAGUAAUUCAUUUGAAACUCAAGCGCGUUUGCAAUUAUGAUUUACAAAUUUUUACAACGUUUUAUGACUUUUAAGUAAUUACGAGAAUCAUUUCUACAAGCUCGACAUCGCUAUUUACGAUACGAUUACGAUUACCUACCACAACCACAUCGUGCUCCUUCUCGAGGAAGCAACAGAUUGUGCGAAUACAAGCAACUCGGUAAACUUUGAAGCGGCGAUAUUAAAGUUACAACGCUCGUCGACUUGUUACGGCCUGAUACACGAAAUUCGCAUUAUCGCACGCUGAGCGAACCCGGCCAAGUAGCUGAACAAAUCCUGAGAGUGAUGCAGAUCAAGGAAGUCGAUUUAAUGUACCCUGAAUGUCAGAGUACUACUUUGAAGGAAUUUCAAAAUUCCGCAAGCGCGAACUUCACGAUGACGUUAAUCCUAUUUGCCAGCAAGCAUCAAUUCGGAGUGCUUAUAUAAUAAAUAACUCCCAGAAAUAUACCCGUUCAUACAAUGUAAGAAAAGUAGCAAAAUAGCCAACGAUUUUUCCUAUGAAAUUUCCAGCAAUCGACAUAAAACCGUCGCAGCUCGCGUAUAACGCAAUGGAAAUGAAAUUCUUCAGAAAGCAUUUUACGUCUUUCUAGCGAAAUAUGUAAUGUCGUGAAUUAGCCUCGUCUUUAAUUCCGCGUCGAAAUUAUGCAAGACAUCAACAGGCCGAGCAAACGCCAAAAGGAGUCGCCCUCCCAAAGCAAUUACCGGGCGCUUCCUUCGCCCGAAAUUUCUCGCAAUCCCGCUCGUGUGUUUCCCCGAGCAACUCCGACUCUCUCUCCCUCACGGUUGUCGCAUAUAUUAAAUUAAUGCCGCCCCUUGCCCUCAGAUCCCGUUCUUUGAUUUCUCCGUGACCGCUUUCAGUGAUACCUGGUCCCGUUGCAAUUACCGGCCGGCAAAUUACGUUGUCGCGCAAACAAUAAUUAAGAAGCCCCGCCACGGUCGGGGUGGAAGAUGGCUUUCGACCGAUGUAAUCGCGACAGCCUUCGCUUGCCCACCGAGGGAUGCACGGUUACUGACGCGGCAAGGUAUUGCCUACCGAAACCUAAAUCGAGCUCGCUUAAAGGGAUAAUCUCGGAAUUACAUCGUGAUGGAAAAAUACAAAUGGAGCACGCUGAAGACGACAGAAUUUCGAGGAAAGUUACGAGGGAAGAUUACUUAAUAAUUAUACAAUUGCGGACAGACGCUUGGCAACGUCGAAAUUUUAUACUGGUCGCUUUAUAUAAAAUACAUCAUUUGAUUAGCAAAAGAUCAGAAAUUGGCAAAAUCGAUGAAAUGAAGAAGAUUAACGAAAAUGGAGAAAGGAAAGAGGAAGGACGGCGGAAAUAGCGGAAUAAUUGACAGGCUCAUCUUGAUUCCUCUGGUAUCAUUCUCCACUUGUAAGACGGCAAUUAAUAAUGGAAUCAUAGUUUGGGGAACAACGAUACAACAAGAAAAAUCCACCAAAAUAGCAGAAAAAUGUAGCGAAAUUGGUCACCUUUGGCGAGAGAAGAAUUGUAUCGAGCGACGUCUUUGACGCAAUCAGUAUUUGCAUGAUAAAAACCGUUAAAUGUCACCGCAGGCCCUUCGUUCAUUUGUAUUCAUAAGCGAAUUUAUGUGUUACUGGGCGAGCUGCACAACGUAUCGAUUCGCUGGAGAUACUCUGUGUUGCACAAAGGAAGUUUAGAACACCGUCAGCCAUUAAGGUUGCAGAUAGUUUAAUAUGCGGUGUGGCAACCAAAUGUUCAUCCAAAAUUGCCUAUGUGUAUCUGUACGUACGUGUGUACGUAUGUAUAUGUAUGUAUAUGUAGGUGUGGAUUACGAAAGAUAGGGCAUCAUAUAAAAGCCUUGCCAACGAGGCUGGGUAAAUUCAUGCAUCAACGAAUACAGGAUCCCGCAUAAGCCUCAUAUUUGAUUUUGCGCAAGGGCUUAUCGUGAGUGAUCUGCAACGUUCAAAGUAUACGUAUCAUCCAAACAUUUACACAAAAUAAUGCGAAAUGAUGAUUUAAGAUAAAGCUAGAUUUAAGAAAAAAAAAACGUUCACAUAAAGAAUAACAACGACAA
This 2760-nucleotide long non-coding RNA is filed under the name Ooceraea biroi (clonal raider ant). Its description in RNAcentral is "uncharacterized LOC105287607". Lineage: Eukaryota; Metazoa; Arthropoda; Insecta; Hymenoptera; Formicidae. The record is from RNAcentral.